UGCAUGGCAGUUUUCUACACCGUGUAUUAUGUAGUCCUUUCCAUUGGCUUUGCAGUAUUCAAGAUUCAAAUGUUGGAUGGUUUGGCACCUUUUGAUUUUAAGACAAAUCCAUCAUGGUUUAACCCACAUUAUUUAGGUAAUCUAUUUUUUUUUUUUUUUUCCCCAGCCAAGAAAAUAGAUUAAAUCUGGAUGUAAACUCAUUUUCCUUAUUGACAAUAUUUUAGAGCCCUUUUAGUAAUAUAGCGGGCAUUAAAAUUUCAGAGUUUGAUUGUAAUUCAGUUCCUAAACAUACCUUUAUAUAUCCUAAUACAAA
RNAcentral lists this long non-coding RNA (313 nucleotides) under Anas platyrhynchos platyrhynchos (common mallard). Its description in RNAcentral is "lncRNA (ENSAPLG00000022979.1)". Lineage: Eukaryota; Metazoa; Chordata; Aves; Anseriformes; Anatidae. The record is from RNAcentral.